RNAcentral lists this ribosomal RNA (489 nucleotides) under Neisseria weaveri. RNAcentral describes it as "bacterial SSU rRNA". It matches the Rfam family "Bacterial small subunit ribosomal RNA", at positions 9 to 488 of the family's 1533-position model. Lineage: Bacteria; Pseudomonadati; Pseudomonadota; Betaproteobacteria; Neisseriales; Neisseriaceae. The record is from RNAcentral.
GAGUUUGAUCCUGGCUCAGAUUGAACGCUGGCGGCAUGCUUUACACAUGCAAGUCGGACGGCAGCACAGAGAAGCUUGCUUCUUGGGUGGCGAGUGGCGAACGGGUGAGUAAUAUAUUGGAACGUACCGAGUAAUGGGGGAUAACUUGCCGAAAGGUAAGCUAAUACCGCAUACGCUCUGAGGAGGAAAGCAGGGGACCUUCGGGCCUUGCGUUAUUCGAGCGGCCAAUAUCUGAUUAGCUAGUUGGUGGGGUAAAGGCCUACCAAGGCGACGAUCAGUAGCGGGUCUGAGAGGAUGAUCCGCCACACUGGGACUGAGACACGGCCCAGACUCCUACGGGAGGCAGCAGUGGGGAAUUUUGGACAAUGGGCGCAAGCCUGAUCCAGCCAUGCCGCGUGUCUGAAGAAGGCCUUCGGGUUGUAAAGGACUUUUGUCAGGGAAGAAAAGGUUGUGGCUAAUAUCCAUGACUGAUGACGUACCUGAAGAAUA